Nerophis lumbriciformis (worm pipefish) is the source of this 164-nucleotide small nuclear RNA. RefSeq annotates it as U1 spliceosomal RNA. The record is from RefSeq and is a predicted model, not a curated record. NCBI's taxonomy places the organism in Eukaryota, Metazoa, Chordata, Actinopteri, Syngnathiformes, Syngnathidae.
AUACUUACCUGGCAGGGGAAAUACCAUGAUCAAGAAGGUGGUUCACCUAGGGUGAGGCUCAGCCAUUGCACUCCGGCUGUGCUGACCCUUACGAAUUCCCCAAAUGUGGGAAUCUCGACUGCAUAAUUUGUGGUAGUGGGGGACUGCGUUCGCGCUCUCCCCUG